This 360-nucleotide long non-coding RNA is filed under the name Capsella rubella. Its description in RNAcentral is "long non-coding RNA (CRUB_LNC003314)". The record is from RNAcentral. Lineage: Eukaryota; Viridiplantae; Streptophyta; Magnoliopsida; Brassicales; Brassicaceae.
UUUCAUAAUAAGGAAAUACUAAAGUAUAAAUAGAGAGUUUGUGGUUGCUGAAGCAAAAAAAAAAAAAAGAAUGUCAAACCUUUUAAUUUGACAAUAUCUAUAUCUUUACAAAAUAAUAAUUGGCUUUGUCUAUACAUAUAUAUUUCUUUGUUGUGCCAACUUUAUAUUUUUAGCAAGAGGCAUGGAGCAAAGAGAGUACCCCACUGGGCCAAGUCCACUCACUCUUGUUCCUAUGUCGCACACUACAUUGCUUCCUUUCCCAAAUUUCCAAUGUUUUUUUUUUUCCUCUCUUCUUCUUCUUUUCUGUUGGUGUCAUUUUCCACCAUUUGUAUAUUUCCUUUUCGGAGCUCCAUAAUAGAU